UGUUGGUGCUUUUGUUUAUAUAUUUUGUGCUGUUUUUCGUGAAAUUAAUCCGCCGAAGCCCGAACCAAAUGUUUGUUUGCGACUUAAACGCUUGUGAUUUGUGUUCAUUAUGCCUAGACGGUGUGAAUUAGGAUGUUAUAAUUCUAAAAAGAACCUUCAAUUUCCUCAUCCAAAAAAGAAUCCUGAGCGUUUCAAGGCUUGGGUUCAUAUAGUUGGUGGGAAGUUAUAUAGUCCCGCUGAUUAUGAACUGUAUAAAAAGAAGGUCAUCUGUGAUAUCCAUUUCACAGACAGGGACAGGAAUCGUAUAUAACCGACAAAAUUUUCUGGCUGUGCCAUCACUUCAUCUGCCUGGCAAAUCUAAUGAAGUUGGUACUUCAGAAAAAGUUUUACCUGCAC
This is a long non-coding RNA of Aricia agestis (brown argus), 396 nucleotides long. RefSeq lists it as uncharacterized. The transcript has 3 exons. The record is from RefSeq and is a predicted model, not a curated record. NCBI's taxonomy places the organism in Eukaryota, Metazoa, Arthropoda, Insecta, Lepidoptera, Lycaenidae.